CUUUUUACUGAAAGCCUUGGUCCAGCCUACUCUGUUUCAUGAUUAACUCAUCAUAUGUUUCUUUCCUCUGCCCAGCUCUUUCAAACCUAGACCUACCUUGAUGCCAAAGCUAAAUUCCACUUUUGUGACUGAGUUCCUCUUUGAAGGUUUCUCCAGCUUCAGGCGGCAGCACAAACUUGUCUUCUUUGUUGUCUUCCUAACUUUGUACCUGCUGACUCUCUCUGGCAAUGUGAUUAUCAUGACCAUUAUUCGCCUGGACCAUCAUCUUCACACCCCCAUGUACUUCUUCCUGUGCAUGCUAUCCAUCUCUGAGACCUGCUACACUGUGGCCAUCAUUCCCCAUAUGCUUUCUGGUCUCUUGAAUCCUCAUCAGCCCAUUGCCACCCAAAGCUGUGCCACUCAGCUCUUCUUCUAUCUCACCUUUGGCAUCAACAACUGCUUCCUGCUCACAGUCAUGGGAUAUGACCGCUAUGUGGCCAUCUGCAACCCCCUAAGGUAUUCAGUCAUCAUGGGUAAGAGGGCCUGUAUCCAACUGGCCUCUGGAUCACUGGGGAUUGGCCUUGGCAUGGCCAUUGUCCAAGUAACAUCUGUGUUUGGCCUGCCAUUCUGUGAUGCCUUUGUCAUCUCCCACUUCUUCUGUGAUGUGAGACACCUGCUGAAGCUGGCCUGCACAGACACCACUGUCAAUGAGAUAAUCAACUUUGUUGUCAGCGUCUGUGUCCUUGUUCUACCUAUGGGCCUGGUCUUUAUCUCCUAUGUCCUCAUCAUCUCCACCAUUCUUAAGAUUGCCUCAGCUGAAGGUCAGAAGAAGGCCUUUGCCACCUGCGCCUCCCACCUCACAGUGGUCAUCAUCCACUAUGGCUGUGCCUCCAUCAUCUACCUGAAGCCUAAGUCCCAGAGUUCCCUGGGACAGGACAGACUCAUCUCAGUGACCUACACUCAUCACUCCCCUACUGAACCCUGUUGUGUACAGCCUGAAGAACAAGGAGGUCAAAGAUGCUCUGCACAGAGCCGUGGGGCAAAAAACUCUGUCUCCUUAAUGAAGAGAGGUUGUGAAGGCUUUUCCUUUGCGUUUAUAAAUAUGUACUAAUUUUUAAUGCUCUUUCAAUAAUGCCCUUAUGUAUGGGAUCAAGAAGACUAGACUAAAUUGAACUGAGUGCUAAAACUGGAGGUUUCUGUUUGAGGUUGUU
RNA transcript from Homo sapiens (human), 1190 nucleotides. It is a transcript of the gene named olfactory receptor family 10 subfamily J member 3 (gene/pseudogene), with no coding region annotated. The record is from RefSeq and is marked validated. The transcript has a single exon. NCBI's taxonomy places the organism in Eukaryota, Metazoa, Chordata, Mammalia, Primates, Hominidae.